GACGAACGCUGGCGGCGUGCCUAACACAUGCAAGUCGAGCGGGGUUGAAGCGAGGGGUAACUCGAGUUUCUACCUAGCGGCGGACGGGUGAGUAACGCGUGGGCAACCUGCCUCAAGGACUGGGAUAACAGCUCGAAAGGGCUGCUAAUACCGGAUAAGCCUAUGGCCUCGCAUGGGGCCAUGAGCAAAGGGGAAACCCGCCUUGAGAUGGGCCCGCGUCCCAUCAGCUAGUUGGUGAGGUGAAGGCUCACCAAGGCGACGACGGGUAGCCGGCCUGAGAGGGUGACCGGCCACACUGGGACUGAGACACGGCCCAGACUCCUACGGGGGGCAGCAGUGGGGAAUCUUGCACAAUGGGCGAAAGCCUGAUGCAGCGACGCCGCGUGAGCGAAGAAGGCCUUCGGGUUGUAAAGCUCUGUCUGGAGGGACGAGGAAGUGACGGUACCUCCGGAGGAAGCCAACGGCGUAACUACGUGCCAGCAGCCGCGGUAAACCACGAGAGUA
RNAcentral lists this ribosomal RNA (504 nucleotides) under uncultured bacterium. Its description in RNAcentral is "bacterial SSU rRNA". It matches the Rfam family "Bacterial small subunit ribosomal RNA", at positions 28 to 533 of the family's 1533-position model. The record is from RNAcentral.